RNAcentral lists this long non-coding RNA (448 nucleotides) under Chloebia gouldiae (Gouldian finch). RNAcentral describes it as "Erythrura gouldiae (Gouldian finch) lncRNA (ENSEGOG00005007977.1)". Lineage: Eukaryota; Metazoa; Chordata; Aves; Passeriformes; Passeridae. The record is from RNAcentral.
ACCCACCUCUGUCCCUGUUAGAAGCUAAUUCCCUGUGCUGGUUGCAGUUGUGAUAUACUGUAUAAACACAGCCUGGUGCUCCUCAGCCCAGAGAAGCUGACUUGGAAAACCCAACGUGUUUUCCCAGCUUAGCCUCACGGUUUCCCCCUCCAUAACUCUGACAUGGAUCACAGUCCAGUCACUUCUGCAUAUGGCCACUCUCAGUGAGCAGCUGUGAAACAGAAAGAUUUUGGUGGCAUGUUGAUUCCAAGCUUAUUUCUUGAUGGCAAAUCAUACUUGUUGGUCUCCAAAACGGAUUUUGUCAUCCCGGCUCAAGGAAAGCACCUGCGUGGGACAAAGGCAUGGAGCACACAGCGGCCAGAAGGCAUGAGUUAAAAAGAGAAGAAAUGGAUCAGUUUCCUCUGUGCUUAGGUGGAGAAUUCUCAUCAAAAUUUUCAUCAAAAUUUUU